UCCCUUGUGGCUCAGCUGGUAAAGAAUCUGCCUGCAAUGCAGGAGAUCUGGGUUCGAUCCCUGGGUUGGGAA
This 72-nucleotide transfer RNA is filed under the name Odocoileus virginianus texanus. It matches the Rfam family "tRNA". Rfam says of the family: Transfer RNA (tRNA) molecules are approximately 80 nucleotides in length. Their secondary structure includes four short double-helical elements and three loops (D, anti-codon, and T loops). Further hydrogen bonds mediate the characteristic L-shaped molecular structure. tRNAs have two regions of fundamental functional importance: the anti-codon, which is responsible for specific mRNA codon recognition, and the 3' end, to which the tRNAs corresponding amino acid is attached (by aminoacyl-tRNA synthetases). tRNAs cope with the degeneracy of the genetic code in two manners: having more than one tRNA (with a specific anti-codon) for a particular amino acid; and 'wobble' base-pairing, i.e. permitting non-standard base-pairing at the 3rd anti-codon position. RNAcentral also lists the same sequence under 9 other names. Lineage: Eukaryota; Metazoa; Chordata; Mammalia; Artiodactyla; Cervidae. The record is from Rfam by way of RNAcentral.